Molecule: ribosomal RNA, 2288 nt
Filed under: Cephalochlamys namaquensis
Lineage: Eukaryota; Metazoa; Platyhelminthes; Cestoda; Pseudophyllidea; Cephalochlamydidae
Description: SSU rRNA
Rfam family: Eukaryotic small subunit ribosomal RNA
Source: RNAcentral
ACCUGGUUGAUCCUGCCAGUAGUCAUAUGCUUGUCUCAAAGAUUAAGCCAUGCAUGUCUUAGUGCACGCCUUUAUACGGUGAAACCGCGAAUGGCUCAUUAAAUCAGCUAUGGUUUAUUGGAUCAUACCCGUUAAAUGGAUAACUGUAAUAACUCUAGAGCUAAUACAUGCCCCGAAGCCCUGACCCGCAAGGGAAUGGGUGCACUUAUUAGAUCAGAAGCCAACCAGGCGUGUUGUGCCUGCCCUCACGGGCGGGUGCGCGCACGCCUGUUGUCGUUCUGGUGACUCUGGAUAAUUGUUACAGAUCGCAGUCGGCCUUGCGUCGGCGACGGAUCCUUCAAAUGUCUGCCCUAUCAACUGUCGAUGGUAGGUGACCUGCCUACCAUGGUGAUGACGGGUAACGGGGAAUCAGGGUUCGAUUCCGGAGAGGGAGCCUGAGAAACGGCUACCACUUCCAAGGGAGGCAGCAGGCGCGCAACUUACCCACUCCCAGCACGGGGAGGUGGUGACGAAAAAUACCGAUGCGGGACUCUUACUGAGGCUCCGUAAUCGGAAUGAGUGAACUCUAAAUCCUUUCACGAGGAUCAAUUGGAGGGCAAGUCUGGUGCCAGCAGCCGCGGUAACUCCAGCUCCAAUAGCGUAUAUUAAAGUUGCUGCAGUUAAAAAGCUCGUAGUUGGAUCUCGGUACCACUGUCGCCUAUCAAUCCUCGGUCGAUUGUGCCUGCCGACUGGAACAGGGGCCUGACUGCGUUAACAGCGUAGCACUCCCUGCCCGUCCAGGUGUGGUUGAACUCGAGUUGGCUUGGUGGUGGUGUCACCUUUCAGCCAUGUCUGUGGUGUAAUAGCCGCAGGUGUAGGGAUGUACCAGACGGUGUCCUGCCUCCUCGGCAGGGCCCGCCGGCUCCUCUGCAUGCCCUUGGAUGCCCUUCAAAAGGUGUCUGCGGGMGGAUGGCACGUUUACUUUGAACAAAUUUGAGUGCUCAAACCAGGCCGAUGCUGCCUGAAAAGUUUUGCAUGGAAUAAUGGAAUAGGACUUCGGCUCUAUUUCGUUGGUUUUCGGAUCCGAAGUAAUGAUCAAUAGAGACAGGCGGGGACGUUUGUAUGGUUGCGCUAGAGGUGAAAUUCAUGGACCGUAACCAGACAAACUAAAGCGAAAGCAUUCGUCAAGCAUGUUUUCAUUGGCCAUGAGCGAAAGUCAGAGGCUCGAAGACGAUCAGAUACCGUCCUAGUUCUGACCAUAAACGAUGCCAACUGACGAUCCGUGGUGGUAGUAUUUCAACCAUCCCCACGGGCAGUCUCCGGGAAACCUUUAAGUCUUUGGGUUCCGGGGGAAGUAUGGUUGCAAAGCUGAAACUUAAAGGAAUUGACGGAAGGGCACCACCAGGAGUGGAGCCUGCGGCUUAAUUUGACUCAACACGGGAAAACUCACCCGGCCCGGACACUGUGAGGAUUGACAGAUUGACAGCUCUUUCUUGAUUUGGUGGUUGGUGGUGCAUGGCCGUUCUUAGUUGGUGGAGCGAUUUGUCUGGUUAAUUCCGAUAACGAACGAGACUCUGACCUGCUAAUUAGUACGCCUGUCCUCUGUGCCUGUGAAAACAGUGUCUAGGCGAAACUGCCCGCACAAAACCGGCUGUCUGACCGGCCUGUCGCUGCUGUUGUUAGUGUUGUGUGUUUCUCGACCUCCUCGUUGUUCUCUCUCGCCGUCAAUGUUGCCUACCCGGUGGCAGAGGCGGUGGGAGCAGCAGCAGCAGCAGGACGAGGGCGCACGAUGCUGCACAGCGGUGCUGGUCGGGCUAGGCGCUGUCGGCGUGGGCGGUUAGCCCAGUGCUUGUUUCUGGGUACGGCGCAGGUGUGUUUACUUCUUAGAGGGACAAGCAUUACGAAUGUGCACGAAAUUGAGCAAUAACAGGUCUGUGAUGCCCUUAGAUGUCCGGGGCCGCACGCGCGCUACAAUGACGGUGCCAACGAGUCUGACCUUCUGGCCCGAAAGGGUUGGGUAAACUGGUCAAUCACCGUCAUGACAGGGAUCGGGGCUUGCAAUUCUUCCCCGUGAACGAGGAAUUCCUAGUAAGUGCAAGUCAUAAGCUUGCGCUGAUUACGUCCCUGCCCUUUGUACACACCGCCCGUCGCUACUACCGAUUGAAUGGUUUAGUAAGGUCCUUGGAUCGGUGCCAUUGUAGCUCCAACCGAAAGGUGGGUGCUCGACAGGCGCCGAGAAGACGACCAAACUUGAUCAUUUAGAGGAAGUAAAAGUCGUAACAAGGUUUCCGUAGGUGAACCAGCGGAAG